This 497-nucleotide ribosomal RNA is filed under the name uncultured bacterium. RNAcentral describes it as "partial 16S ribosomal RNA". It matches the Rfam family "Bacterial small subunit ribosomal RNA", at positions 28 to 507 of the family's 1533-position model. The record is from RNAcentral.
GAUGAACGCUGGCGGCGUGCCUAAUACAUGCAAGUCGAGCGAACGGACGAGAAGCUUGCUUCUCUGAUGUUAGCGGCGGACGGGUGAGUAACACGUGGAUAUCCUACCUAUAAGACUGGGAUAACUUCGGGAAACCGGAGCUAAUACCGGAUGAUAUUUUGAACCGCAUGGUUCAAAAGUGAAAGACGGUCUUGCUGUCACUUAUAGAUGGAUCCGCGCUGCAUUAGCUAGUUGGUAAGGUAACGGCUUACCAAGGCAACGAUGCAUAGCCGACCUGAGAGGGUGAUCAGCCACACUGGAACUGAGACACGGUCCAGACUCCUACGGGAGGCAGCAGUAGGGAAUCUUCCGCAAUGGGCGAAAGCCUGACGGAGCAACGCCGCGUGAGUGAUGAAGGUCUUCGGAUCGUAAAACUCUGUUAUUAGGGAAGAACAUAUGUGUAAGUAACUGUGCACAUCUUGACGGUACCUAAUCAGAAAGCCACAGCUAACUACGUG